UGUGGCUCAGUGGUAGAGCACUUGCUUAGCAUGCAUAGGCCCUAGGUUCAAUCCCUAGCA
This 60-nucleotide transfer RNA is filed under the name Ictidomys tridecemlineatus (thirteen-lined ground squirrel). RNAcentral describes it as "Spermophilus tridecemlineatus (thirteen-lined ground squirrel) tRNA". It matches the Rfam family "tRNA", at positions 6 to 65 of the family's 71-position model. From Rfam's summary of the family: Transfer RNA (tRNA) molecules are approximately 80 nucleotides in length. Their secondary structure includes four short double-helical elements and three loops (D, anti-codon, and T loops). The record is from Rfam by way of RNAcentral. Lineage: Eukaryota; Metazoa; Chordata; Mammalia; Rodentia; Sciuridae.